This 815-nucleotide long non-coding RNA is filed under the name Felis catus (domestic cat). RNAcentral's name for it is "lncRNA (ENSFCAG00000052960.1)". The record is from RNAcentral. Lineage: Eukaryota; Metazoa; Chordata; Mammalia; Carnivora; Felidae.
CACAGUGUGGGUUCAACUUACAGAAACUCAAUAUACUACCUCAUAAACCAGAUCAAUUAAAAGGCGAUUAUUCACUUUACAGGCAAUGGCUUUGCCUCUGCACAGGAUUCCUUUAAGGAGUAGUUCCCUAGGGCAUUUAAGAAUUAGCUUGUAGAUCAUGAGUUUUUGAUGGAAGGCAUAGGGAGGCAGAAAAACAGGAGCUGUAGUCUGCUGGACAUCCAGGAGGAAUGAAGGAAAAAGACGAAGGAUCUCUGACAUUAUGUAAAGCAACGGGGAAAACAGGAUGGAUUUCCCAAAUUAAAUUUACAUGCAACUUUGCAUAACAUUAUAAAAUAUCAGCUUUUUGCAAAAACCUAACAUUUACUACUAUGUGCUGAACCAGUUUAUUUACAUGAAUCCUCACGAUAGCCGUAAAAAUAGAUGUUUUUAUCCUUACCUGUAGAUGAGUAGACUGAGGCCCAGGAUGGGAAUACACUUGUCAAAGGUCACAGAUGUUUCAAGUUCACAUUACUCUGCCCUGUGGGGGAAGAAGGACCAUCAGAGGUUGGAGGAAGGUGACAUUCAAGCUGCUGAGCUAGAGUUUGAGGAUUGACACCUGGUUGCGGACAGAGAAAAGGUCGACACCUCCAUAGUGGUUGUUCACGGAAGAAGUGCUCUGAGAGAGACAGUAUUAUCCAGGAACAAUCUGUAGCUCUUCUGAUGUUUUGCCAAAGGACCUGGAGCCCCCUCUCUGGAGGAAUCUGAUCUGACUGCCUCCAGCUGCUCAUGGGGUGAGUGGAACUGGUUUUCUGGGAGCCCUGGGAGGAGGGCAGAGG